Long non-coding RNA from Esox lucius (northern pike), 532 nucleotides. NCBI's taxonomy places the organism in Eukaryota, Metazoa, Chordata, Actinopteri, Esociformes, Esocidae. The record is from Ensembl.
AAACAAACUGACUGGAUUAACCCCACGUUAGCUACAUGCAUUGAGUGGCGUUCAGACGGUUGACAUGAACAGUCACUUUGCCAGCCAGUGUUUCUACCAGAGCAUGUUAUCCAGAGGUAUAAAAAGGUCCUGCAGUACAUCGAUAAGGGAGUCACCAAAACCCUGGCUUACCGCAAGUGUGGGAUUGACCGAAAAACCAUUGUUGACACUGCAGCAAUAGCGGAGCUGGAGGCGUGUGACACUGAAGCCUACAAGACCUUGCGUGAAAAUUUUCAUAGAGGGCAAAAACUGUCACAAUUUGCAGAGAAAUGCAGGGAAAUUUGCAAAAAGAGCCACUUCAAACUUUGAUUGAAGAUAAAAAGAAAAAUGGCCAGCUAAUUGACCUCUGUCACAGACAAAAAUAACUUUUGUUCACAUGUGUGUGUUGGCAAGGUUGAAGUUCAGGCAUCGAGACGUUUUAUAGUUUUUAUAGUCAGUUUUUUUUUUUAUUUGGUCUAACAGGUUUGGACUUAAAACAAUGUUUUCUUUUUUU